This 268-nucleotide ribosomal RNA is filed under the name uncultured bacterium. RNAcentral describes it as "partial 16S ribosomal RNA". It matches the Rfam family "Bacterial small subunit ribosomal RNA", at positions 332 to 595 of the family's 1533-position model. The record is from RNAcentral.
UGCACCUACGGGACGCAGCAGUGGGGAAUCUUCCGCAAUGGGCGAAAGCCUGACGGAGCAACGCCGCGUGAUCGAAUGAAGGCCUUCGGGUUGUAAAGAUCUGUUGACAGGGACGAAUAAGCAAUGUGAAUAGUUUUGUGUAUGACGGUACCUGUUUAGAAAGCUCCGGCUAACUACGUGCCAGCAGCCGCGGCAAUACGUAGGGAGCAAGCGUUGUCCGGAAUUACUGGGCGUAAAGGGCGCGUAGGUGGGCGCUUAAGUCUGGUGU